RNAcentral lists this ribosomal RNA (460 nucleotides) under uncultured bacterium. RNAcentral's name for it is "partial 16S ribosomal RNA". It matches the Rfam family "Bacterial small subunit ribosomal RNA", at positions 338 to 795 of the family's 1533-position model. The record is from RNAcentral.
CCUACGGGGCGCAGCAGUGAGGAAUAUUGGUCAAUGGACGCAAGUCUGAACCAGCCAUGCCGCGUGCAGGAAGACGGCUCUAUGAGUUGUAAACUGCUUUUGUACGAGGGUAAACGCAGAUACGCGUAUCUGUCUGCACGUAUCGUACGAAUAAGGAUCGGCUAACUCCGUGCCAGCAGCCGCGGUAAUACGGAGGAUUCAAGCGUUAUCCGGAUUUAUUGGGUUUAAAGGGUGCGUAGGCGGUCGGAUAAGUUAGAGGUGAAAUCCCGAGGCUCAACUUCGGAAUUGCCUCUGAUACUGUUCGGCUAGAGAGUAGUUGCGGUAGGCGGAAUGUAUGGUGUAGCGGUGAAAUGCUUAGAGAUCAUACAGAACACCGAUUGCGAAGGCAGCUUACCAAGCUACUUCUGACGUUGAGGCACGAAAGCGUGGGGAGCAAACAGGAUUAGAUACCCGGGUAGUC